RNAcentral lists this non-coding RNA (1199 nucleotides) under Pongo abelii (Sumatran orangutan). The record is from RNAcentral. Lineage: Eukaryota; Metazoa; Chordata; Mammalia; Primates; Hominidae.
UCCCGUUGUCAUGGAGGUAGGCUCUCUAGGAAUCUGGGAGUAGUAGCGGGGGGGGCAAGAGCAAAUAAAGAGCUCGAGCUUCUGUGGUCUCUGGGGAGAUGUUCCCGGGAAGCCUGGCUAGAGGGCGGAGGGCAGCUGUUGAGAUGGCGUGGCUUCCCGGCUCCUGCGCCCGCGUGGCUUUCGCGGCGGUCGCUGCGGCCCGGCAUUGGACAGCCUGGCAGGGCAGCGCGGGGCCGAAUCUGGCUGCCGUGGCAGAGGCUCAUGGAUCACUCCUUUGUGGUAGGGCCACAUCUGCCAGAGCCUGGAGUCUGCGAAGGCCGGGACCCGGUUCCCCGGCCCGCCGUGGGGAGUGUGCAAACCCGAGAGAACUGGAUUGCGUACCCACUGCAGAGGGCUGAAGACGGGGUAGCCACGAGGUUGCAAAUUCGUGAAGAAUCAGCAGCAUGUUUGGCAGCUGAGUAUUGGAGCCAGGAGCCUGCCAUGAGGUUUUGAGAACAGGGUGCUGUUUUAGAGCUGGCAGCAGCAUCUCAGCCCAAGAGAAGGUUAUAUUCCCAGAGGAUGUCAGUCCCAAGGACCAGUAGCUGCCAUCAGUUUGGAUUCUGAAAACUAACCGGCAUCAACAUUGGGUGUAGAAACAUGCUUGCCUUGUGUAUCAGAGGACAUGCUCAGCAGAUCCAAGAGAUAUAUUUGGCAACUUUUUCUAGAAAAGGCACAUUAGGUAUCAUUCAUUACAUUCUUGAGUUUUUUUGGGGUUUUUUUUUUUUUUGAGACAGUCUUGCUGUGUUGCCCAGGCUGGAGUGUGGUGGCACAAUCACAGCUCAUUGCAGCCUCAAUCACCCAGGCCUAAGCAAUCCUCCCACCUUGUAGCUGGGACUACAGCUCACAGCACACCUGGCUAAAAUUUUUUUUUGUUGAGACGGAUUCUCUAUGUUGCUCAGGCUGGUCUCAAGCUCCUGGGCUUAGAUGGUCCUCCUGCCUCAGCUUCCAAAGGCACAGGCCAAGUUGUAGCUUUGUCCCUUGCCAUCAUGCCCAACAAGAGGUUCUAUACCUUUUAAUGAACUGACUUUCAUAAAUUGGUUAUGUUGGUGGGCAAGUUCUUUAAGCUGGAAAUUGUAAAUUCCUCCUGAAAUGUUUUUUCAUGCAGUUACCAUGAACUAAUACUACAAUAAAGGAUGGUCUUGGGUGUCAAUUCUUGAAAA